GUGAAUCAUCAAAUUUUUGAACGCAAAUUGCACUCUCUGGUAUUCCGAAGAGUAUGCCUGCUUGAGGGUCAGUUAAAUAAAAAUCGGUGUUUUGUUGCUGCUUUGCGUAGUGACGCUUCGUGUUUGAGUCGUCUUACCUUCGGUUAAGUGACCUAAAAUUUUGCAUGAUUUUCGAACGUAUUUAAAUGAUUUUACGUACGUUUGCGAUAUAGAAUACUCAGUGUGGUCAUCCUCAUUAUUCGC
This 243-nucleotide unclassified non-coding RNA is filed under the name Glomus sp. RNAcentral describes it as "partial contains 5.8S ribosomal RNA and internal transcribed spacer 2". The stretch from base 1 to 71 matches the Rfam family "5.8S ribosomal RNA", at positions 84 to 154 of the family's 154-position model. The record is from RNAcentral. Lineage: Eukaryota; Fungi; Glomeromycota; Glomeromycetes; Glomerales; Glomeraceae.